CGCACAAGGCAAGCCGCAGCCUGUGCCUCCACCUGUGCCUGCGGAAAGCUGGGGCUAACAGAAGUACGGAGUGGCGGUUCCACUCACAUAGUUCCAGCGUGACUCUCCCAAGCCUCUGGACUCAAGCGCCCACAAAAGACAAGUGAAUGGGAUGACGACUCAGUUAAGGUUUGCCCAGGAUACCUUUUUAACGUCUUCAUAAUCAAGACUAAGCUGCCGGUAUAACCUUGAAAUAGUGAUUCCAUUCAUUGUUUUCUUAACAGGCUGUAAAACUGCCAGGAAACUGAUCCGGCAGUAAAUAGAUGACAUGCAGUUUUGCGAAAUUACUUUCUCUAUGAUCUUGAGUUUUAAAGAUUAUGUUUGAAUCACAGAGUUGUUAUAGGAUAAGAAGUUUCAAGCCAUCCCAGACAUCAUGAAGAAAUUGAUAGAGUAAGUUAGGAUCAUAAACUACAUUCUCUGUGCUUUAAAUUUAUGAACUUUGCAUCAAAUUAGGACUUUCAGUAUCAUUGACCAAAUAGGCAUUUAUGUGACAAAAAUUAAGUUUCUGAAUAUCCGGUGUUGGAGAAGAUAUUGACAACAUCUAUCACUUUGAUAUUUUGGAUGCGAGUGUACACUGGCUCACCACUUCGGAAACUAGUUAGAUAGACGUGGUCUUGUGAAGUCAGCACUCACGUUUUCCAAGAUUCAGCAGUUCUAUUCCCAAGUAAACACCUAAGAUAAACUCCUUCGCUUAGUCCCAGGAGAUGGUAGAAGAAGGUUCAUAACAGCCCCAUUAGUGAUGCUGAUGACAACAGUGCAAACAACGCAAAUGCCCAGCGACAAGAAAAUAGACAACUUGUACCCUAGAAAUUUAUGGAGCUGUGAAAAAUGAAUUAAUACUGACUCCACACCAAAAUCUAGAAGAAUCUUAGUAAUAUACUCCUCAAUGAAAACAUGUAAAUCUCAGAAGAUUAUAUAAAACUUGAUGUUCUUUUAAUAAAGAUCAUUUAAAAAAAUGUAAA
This is a long non-coding RNA of Suricata suricatta (meerkat), 1001 nucleotides long. RefSeq lists it as uncharacterized. NCBI's taxonomy places the organism in Eukaryota, Metazoa, Chordata, Mammalia, Carnivora, Herpestidae. The transcript has 2 exons. The record is from RefSeq and is a predicted model, not a curated record.